Molecule: ribosomal RNA, 508 nt
Filed under: uncultured bacterium
Lineage: Bacteria
Description: partial 16S ribosomal RNA
Rfam family: Bacterial small subunit ribosomal RNA
Source: RNAcentral
GAUGAACGCUAGCUACAGGCUUAACACAUGCAAGUCGAGGGGAAACGAUAUUGGAAGCUUGCUUCCGAUAGGCGUCGACCGGCGCACGGGUGAGUAACGCGUAUCCAACCUGCCCAUCACUUGGGGAUAACCUUGCGAAAGUAAGACUAAUACCCAAUGACGUCUCAAGAAGACAUCUGAAAGAGAUUAAAGAUUUAUCGGUGAUGGAUGGGGAUGCGUCUGAUUAGCUUGUUGGCGGGGUAACGGCCCACCAAGGCGACGAUCAGUAGGGGUUCUGAGAGGAAGGUCCCCCACAUUGGAACUGAGACACGGUCCAAACUCCUACGGGAGGCAGCAGUGAGGAAUAUUGGUCAAUGGACGAGAGUCUGAACCAGCCAAGUAGCGUGCAGGAUGACGGCCCUAUGGGUUGUAGACUGCUUUUAUAAGGGAAUAAAGUGAGAGUCGUGACUCUUUUUGCAUGUACCUUAUGAAUAAGGACCGGCUAAUUCCGUGCCAGCCGCCGUAACAC